Long non-coding RNA from Amphiprion ocellaris (clown anemonefish), 6265 nucleotides. RefSeq lists it as uncharacterized. The transcript has 3 exons. Lineage: Eukaryota; Metazoa; Chordata; Actinopteri; Pomacentridae. The record is from RefSeq and is a predicted model, not a curated record.
GGUCGGCACGUCUGGUAGCAUCUUUGGCUGCUGUUGAUCUUGUUUUUGGAGUAAAACACGGUAAGAAGACAAAUACUUCUAACCAGUAGCGUUGUCUUGUUGUACGUUAAGUCAGCGACUUGUGUAGAGUUGUGUUUUGUCCUGUUUGAGCAGUUGGUCCGGACGCGUUAGCUAGCUAAGCGGCUAAGUUAGCUAGUGGGCUAAUUAACACAGGUGGCUAGCUUACCGCUGAACACCUGUGUUAGUUGCUGCUGCAGCUGUCCUCGUUAUUAGAAGGAACUUCUCAACCUGUAUUUCUCUGCUGUGUAUUUUAGCUUUUAAAAAAGUUAUUUUACUUUAAGGUUAACUGAAACCCGUUCAGCUGCACUGAAGUUUAACAUUCAGCUGGUUUGAAUUAAACCGUGCUUAACAUUGACCAACAUUACCUCUCUGAAUCUCCAUAAUUUCAUUAAAUUCCUUCUCUCUCCCACUGCUCAAGUUCAAUACAGUAUAUAAAGUGACAUUAAUAGUGAAUAAACUAACAACCAGCCAUUGUAUUUAUUUAUUACUGCAUGUAUUUGUUGUAAAACAUGAGUUGAAACAUCCUACUUUUGGAUCUAGAACUGCACAAGCCGUUCAUUUUCAGUCACCUGACGAGUUAAACUCCCCUUUUUAUGUGAGGUUGAAGCAGAAAGUCUGAGUUAACAAAGAAAGUUGUUUAUAAUUUGCGAUACCUGUUAUCUCUGACUGAGGCUUUAGUUUUUGUUGAGCUGAUUUACACGUAGAAACUUUGUUCAGGAAGAUUUCUCAGUAGCUCAGAGGACAGGCUGCUUUUUACACAACCUUGUAAGAGAAUGUCUGUCAAUGCUUUCAGCAGAAUUUAGGAACACAACACUUCCUAAACAGAUAUUUUGAGGCUGUGAGGUUGAACGUUUGAGAGUAUAUCAGUGUGUUUGUUUGUGGUCUUUGUGUUUCUAGGUGGAAGUUGAAUUAGUGAGGAUGACUCCUGCUCCUGUCAUCUCUAAGCUCCUCACACAUCUUUACCUGCACAUGAGGAAAAUCACUGCUGUAGAAUGCAGUGGUUCAUCAGAACCUCUGGGGAUGUCCUGUGGAUUCUGUGGAUCCUGUGGGUUGCAGGGUGGGUCCUACCUAGACCAGGCUGAUCCUGGACCAUCCCACAGAUGCUCCAUCAGAUGUGGAUGUGGGGAGUGUGGAACCCAGAUGUUCAGAAGGAGAUGAUGCCACAUCUGGUCCAGCUGAUGGAAGGUCUUGAAGUUCUCUGACUGGCCUCAACUGAAGAUGGUCCUCUCUCUGGAUUUAAGGUUCAAAUGUUCAGUAACAAACUCCACCAAUGAGCCAACAGGGAAGCUUUAGGUUUAUUAAAUGUUGCUAUGAAGGUAUCGCUGUUUUUCUUUGUGAAUGCAAUGUGCUCCAACUGAAACUUGAAUUAGAACUUAGAAGUAAAUCCUUCCAUCUGAAAGGAUUUAGUUGCAUUAAUAACCUCAUAACAUUCUAAUUUUUAUUCCAGUCUUGGUUGGAAAUAGAAUCUCUGUAUUGAUUCAGGUAAAAACUGAACUUCACAGCAUGUUGGAGCAAAACAACCAGAUGAAAACUGUGAUGGUGUUGGAUUGUCAGACUGUAAUGUUGCAGCUCAAAGCAGCUUUUCUAGCUCAGUUCAUUCUGACAUUCAGCUAUGAAUCAACACAGCAGAUGGUGAUCCAUGCUGUGGAAGUCUCACAUCUCCUGAUUUAAUGGAACUGCUUUGCACUUUUUACACUGUUUAUUCACCAACACUUUAUUUUAUAAAAGUCCCAUCUAGCUUUUAUGAGGAAUGUGUUGUUUUAAUUUCUCUGUGAAUAACUGCAGUCUAAUGUAACAGCUGGAGUUGUAACAUCUGUCCUGAUAUUGAUCAUGAAGUAUUGAUCAGAAUACUUAUGGUUAGCAGUCAUCCCUGAAGUUUACAUGAAAAUCUUUACUUGUGUUGUGAACUUUGGUAAGAAGCAGAAACGUUAGCGUUGCCAUGGAUACAUGAGUGUUAAAUUCUGUCCAUGUUUCCAUUUUGGGAAAUGCAGUCCAGUUCCAGAAUGUGGAGGAAUUUAGUCUCACAAUCACAGACAACAAAUAUUAUCUGAAAGUCGGGUUAUUGUUGUUUAUCAGCACAAUACAAAAAGAUUAAUGUUAGAAAUAUUCCAGUUAAUACUCUAGAAUAGCAGGAUUUAUGUAAAUUUACCUCAAUAAUAUGAAUGUUCAGGUUAAGAUUGUACAGUGAUAUUUAUUAUGUAAGUUUAACUGAUUAAAGUUUGACUCUGCACUACAAUAUUAUUUAAAUUGACAUCAUUAUUAUAAUAUUUAGGGUCAGACCCUACAGUAUUGAGAUUAAGAAAUCAAAUAUUCUUUAAAAUGUAAAUACACUGAACUCAUUUGGAUAUAUUUAAGUGAGACUCUACAAUAUUAUUUGACACAAAUCUAUCUAAAUCAAAGUUUUAAUCAUUUUUACUCCAAACAUUGGCUGAACUGAUUUAAAUAUUAAAAUCACUCCUUUCUUAUCCUCUGCUGUACGUUCAAACCUGAGGCCUUAAAUAGAAACACACAAGUAUCUGAUUGAAGGAACUUCUGCAGAGUCCUGGUUCCAGAACAUGAUGAUAGAAUUAUAGACAAACUUUAACAAAAGCUGCCUGAGAGUUUACAGGUUUUUAUGUUAGAUUUCUUCAGUAAUUUAAUGAGAAUUAUCAGCAAAAAUCAAGUGUUCAUUUGAUGAACUUCAUUUCCUAAAACAUCCAGAAUUGGAGCUCAUACCUUUUAGAGCUGUAAAGUUUCUGCUCCUUCAAAGUUCACAACACAAUGAAUGAAUUCCUAAAACACUCUCAAUGUUGGAGAGCGUUUGUGAUGCUGAAGCAGUGACCAGUUUUUCUGUUUCUUCUCUGGAGAUGCACAAUGAGGGACGUCUGCAGCGACUGAGAAAGAGUCUCACCACAUCCUGACAUGAGGAAAAAGACUUUAUUGAAGACUGCAAUGAGAAAAACUAUCAGACAGCAGACGGCUGCAUUCAAGGUGAGCUCUGAACAUUUGAUCUGGAACAGGAAUUCAAUCACGGCAGCAUGAGCUUCAUUUCAGUCUGUAGCUGCUGAAUUCAUGGAUAAAUCAUCUGGCACUAGAGAGGAAGACCAUCAAACAUCCACGUUAGCUGAUGGAGGUCCAAGAGUCUCACCCAACAAAACCUACAGAGUGAAGACCUCAAAUCUGAUUGGACGGCCUCCUAUUCAGCCACAUGUGUGAACAAAUGCCUCUAAGCUGAUUUGUUUUCUAAAAUAAAUCUAGUUUGAGUCCUAAUCUAUGCCUGUGUGUUUGCUUCUUUACACCGCUGUUAACAGUUUAGGCUGUUAGAUUGUUCCAGAUAAGACAAGUACAAGAUUCUUCAGAGCCGUUCUACCACGAGCCUGACAGGAAGAACUCCAACAGCUACUGAAUGUUCCUGUGGUUCCCUCAAGGCUACAGGAGGAGCCCUACGAGGACGAGCCGGUCCACCUGAUGGAGGCCAGUCGCUGCGGUUCAAAGCCAACACCGACUACGUGGACUUCUACCACGCGGAGGCCUUCAAACCGGACCAACAAGUUCAGCGAGUCCCCGACUCGUGGGUCUGAGGACGCCGCCGAGCCUCGGUCCAGCCGGCCACCUGUCUGUGGGUGUUUGAGUGCUGAGAGGUUUGUGGAUGCAUGUGAACGUUCUGUGUUGAAACAGCAGCUUUGGACUCAGUAACGCUGGGAAAAACCAAGAGCUCCUUUAUUUGUGACUUCCACUAAAAAAACUGAUGAAAAUAAGUUUGCCAGGGUUCUGACUGAUAACAGAUUAUUAAAUAAUGAAAAUAACAUUUUAAAUGUUCCUUUAAACAAUCCUUUUAGGUCUACAUUUCCUUUACACUGACUUCUUGGUAUAUGUACAAGUAUUUUGGGUGGAAUAUACCAUUAAGCCCAAUGUUCUAGGGUUCUUCGGGGAAUAUACCAUUAAACCAAUCUUUUAGGUAAAUGUUCCAGGAUGUUGGGUAGAAUAUACCAUUAGAUAAACCUUUUAUGUCUACAUUGGAAGAUUUUAGAGUAGAAUAUUAUUCCAAGCCAUCCUUUAGGUCUGCAUUUAAGGUGGAAUACUCUUUUACACCAAGAUUGUUUGGUCUACAUUAAAGGAUUUUAGGUAGAAUAUUCCUUUGAAUGAACUUUUUAAGUUUAUGUUCAAGGAUGUUGGGUGGAAUAUACCAUCAGACCAACCUCCAAGGUCUACAGUAGUGAAUUUUAGGUGGAAUAUACCAUUAACUCACCUUUUAGGUCUACAUUGGAGGAUUUUAGGUGGAAUUUUCUUCCAGACCGUCAUUUAGUCUACAUGUAAGGAUGUUUAGGAUGGUAUAUUCUUCCAAACCAAAUUCUCAGGUCUACAUUUCAGGUGGACUAUUCCUCCAUACUAACUUUUUUGGUCUACAUUGCAGGAUUUUUUCUAAAUCACCCUUUCCGGUCUAUACUUGGGGUUUUAGGUGGAAUAUUCCUUUUAACCAGCCCCUCAGGUCUCUUUGAGGAUUUUGGAUGGAAUACUCGGUUAAACCAACAUUUUAGGUGCAUGUCCAAGGAUUUUUGGUGGAAUGUUCCUUUAAGGUGGAUGUUUGAGGACCUUGUAGGUGGAAUGCUUCCAGAAACCAACCUUUUAGGUCAACAUUCAAAGAUUUAAGGUGGAAUAUUCCUUUAAACCAACCUAAAUUUCAUGUUUUGAUCAUUAUCAAGUGAGAAACCUCAAUCCAGAACUAAAAGUGAACUUCAUGUUGACAUUGAUGGGCAUUCCAACCAGGAACAAAGUAAAAGAUAAUCAAUAUGAAAAAAACACCUCUUCCUGUUCACCUCUUCAAGCCCCAAGAGAUAAGAAAUAUAAAGAAGUAAUUUUUUCAUUGCCUUUUUCUUGGUGAGGAUGUUUAAGGGUUAUCGUAACAUCUGUAAACAAAACAAAAACGUAUCAACAAAGUUUCCUGUUAGUUUGUGUUGUUCUAAGUUUAACUCCAAGAUUUUAAAUACUUCCAUUUACUGCAAAUGAAUAUCUACUCCAAAUGUCUCACUAAUAAUCAUUAUCAGCCUUAAAAACCCACAAAACACCCCUCGAUACUCAGCCACACUUAGUACAGUCCGGUUCCCCCUUCUAUAAAUCUGCUUGGAAUCUUCCACUUCCUGUUUGUCAAAGUGGCCUUCUACCUGGACAGGUUUUGUUGGAGCUCAUGCAACAAACAUUUUGGGUAACUGCACUUUAAUAUGGAUGGAUGACACUGAAUUAGAGUCUGUUUUAAUGAGACUGAGUUAAGAUGUGUAGCUCUGUCAUUAAAUAGUAAAUUAUUUCUCAGAAUUCACAGAGAAAAGUCUGAAAUGUUUGCUAGGUUAGCGUCCCACAUGUUCUUUGGCUCAGCUAAAGCUAACUCUCUCCAACUUCUGGAUCUCUUGAGUUACUUGUUGUGAAAAUAUCUUGCUACAGGUGCUGAAGCUCCGAAAGUCUGAGAUGUUUGUUCAAAAUAAGCUCAUUCUCAAGUCUUAUCUGAACUGUCCUCUUUUGUUUUAACUUUCCUUAAACUUAGGAGUUAAUGACAGAGCAGCACAUCCAGACUCAGUCUCAUUUAUGUAGAGAUUAAACUUCAGUGUCAUUCAUUGAUGUUAAAGUACAGUUUUUCAAAUGUUUGUUGCACAUGCUCCCGACCAAACCAGUCCAGGUGGAAGACGAUGUGAAGAGAAAGCUCCAGAGGAUGAAUAUCACACAUUUACGUUGGAAAUAAAUGUCCUUUAAUUAGACAUUGUCAUGCAAAAGUUGGAUUUCCCUUUAAUGAUGUUCAAAUCUUUGUUGAGUGUUUUGUUGAUGUUGGUUUCUAAAUGUUUUUUGACACUCGGCCCCAAAGAUUAAAACCUUUUACGUCUCACAAGCUGCAACAAUUCACACAUUAUCAACUAUCUUUCUGACUAAGAUGAAAGGUGAAAAACUGUCUGAUUCCUGCAUCAUGAAUGUAAAUCUUUUUGGUUUUUAUGGCAGUAUACUGAAUAUGUUUGGGUUUGACAUUUUAUAAACCAAAACAAGAAAUGAAUUACUGGAGAAAACAAUCAACAGAUUAAUGGACAAAGAAAAUUUUAAUUCAAUUUUAUUUAUAUAACGCCAAUUACAGGUCAAAUUGUCUCAAGACGCUUUAUUUUUAUAUUUUUUUGUUAUUUAAAAUAUGACAAAGUAAGAAAUUUAAAGCUCUUGACUAAUCCAAUUUAUUAUUUGGCUUUUAAGAGAC